UGGGGGAUAUUGCACAAUGGGCGAAAGCCUGAUGCAGCGACGCCGCGUGGGGGAUGAAGGCCUUCGGGUUGUAAACUUCUUUUGCUCUGAACAAGGCGCACCAUGGGGUGUGUUGAGUGUAGGGGUUGAUUAGCGCCGGCUAACUACGUGCCAGCAGCCGCGGUAAUACGUAGGGCGCGAGCGUUGUCCGGAAUUAUUGGGCGUAAAGGGCUUGUAGGUGGCUGGUUGCGUCUGUCGUGAAAGCUCAUGGCUUAACUGUGGGUUUGCGGUGGGUACGGGCUGGCUUGAGUGCAGUAGGGGAGGCUGGAAUUCCUGGUGUAGCGGUGGAAUGCGCAGAUAUCAGGAGGAAUACCGGUGGUGAAGGCGGGUCUCUGGGCUGUUACUGACACUGAGGAGCGAAAGCAUGGGGAGCGAACAGG
This 419-nucleotide ribosomal RNA is filed under the name bacterium. Its description in RNAcentral is "partial 16S ribosomal RNA". It matches the Rfam family "Bacterial small subunit ribosomal RNA", at positions 355 to 776 of the family's 1533-position model. The record is from RNAcentral.